UUGUAAAUAAUGUAAAUAAUUCAAUGUGAUUAUCUUGUGUGAUGACUGUAUUAUGAUGAUAGUAUAUAUGAUAGUAUAUAUCUGUAUCAUGAAUCAAUUUAAGUGGACCCCGACUUAAACAAGUUGAAAAACUUAUUCGGGUGUUACCAUUUAGUGGUCAAUUGUACGGAAUAUGUACUUCACUGUGCAACCUACUAAUAAAAGUCUCAAUCAAUCAAAAAAAACCAAAUGAAUUGUAUUUCUCAUAGCAAGACAUUCAUUUGAUGAUUUAAUUUAUUUUUUUGUUUACUAACUCGACCUCUGCCACAAAAGGCAUACGUGUAUGCUUAUCAAUCAUUAUAUUGUUAUUAUCAUGACACCAAUGUUAUUAUUAUUGCACCAACUUUACUAUCAGUACACCGACACUAUUACCAUUAUAUUAUCCUUAUCAUGACAUCAACAUUAUCAAUACACCAACAUUAUUAUUAUCGAUACACCAUCCUCUCGAGGUCAUGGGGGCUGGAGCCAAUCCCAGCUGCACAUGGGCAUAAGGCGGGGUACACCCAGGACAAGUCGCCACCUCAUCGCAGGGCCAACACAGAUAGACAGACAACAUUCACACUCACAUUCACACACCAAUUUAGUGUUGCCAAUCAACCUAUCCCCAAAGCCGGAGUACCCGGAGGGAACCCACGUCAAUAUUAAUACAUUUUUGAACACCUUAUCAUCACACUAUCAUUCUCAUUACAGCAACUUUAUCAUUACAUUACACAGUUGUUACCAUUAUCAUCACACCAACAUUAUCAUUAGGCCAACAUUAUUAGAAUUGCACCAUCAUUAUCAUUACAUCUUUACCAUAAAGGGUAUUAAAUGGUUUGAAAAAGUUGUAAACACGAUUAAACAGUGUAAAUAUUAUUAGUAUUAGGGCUGUGAAUCUCUGGGUGUCCCACGAUUCGAUUCAAUAUCGAUUCUUGGGUCACGAUUCGAUUCAAAAUCGAUUUUUUUUUUUAAUUCAACACGAUUCUCGAUUCAAAAACGAUUUUUUCCCGAUUCAAAAGGAUUCUCUAUUCAUUCAAUAAAUAGGAUUUCAGCAGGAUCUACCCCAGUCUGCUGACAUGCAAGCAGAGUAGUAGAUUUUUGUAAAAAGCUUUUAUAAUUGUAAAGGACAAUGUUUUAUCAACUGAUUGCAAUAAUGUACAUUUGUUUUAACUAUUAAAUGAACCAAAAAUAUGACUUAUUUGAUCUUUGUGAAAAUAUUGGACACAGUGUGUUGUCAAGCUUAUGAGAUGCGAUGCAAGUGUAAGCCACUGUGACACUAUUGAUCAUUUAUUUUAAUUUUUUUUAAAUGUCUAAUGAUAAUGUCAAUGAGGGAUUUUUAAUCACUGCUAUGUUGAAAUUGUAACUAAUAUGGAUACUGUUGUUGAUAAUAUUCAUUUUUGUUUCACUACUUUUGGUUUGUUCUGUGUCGUGUUUGUGUCUCCUCUCAAUUGCUCUGUUUAUUGCAGUUCUGAGUGUUGCUGGGUCGGGUUUGGUUUUGGAAUUGGAUUGCAUUGUUAUGGUAUUGCUGUGUAUUGUUUUGUUGGAUUGAUUAAUUUAAAAAAAAAAAAAAAAAAAUGUAAUAAUCAAAAUAAAAAAAUAAAAAAUCGAUUUUUAAAAAAAUGAGAAUCGAUUCUGAAUCGCACAACGUGAGAAUCGCGAUUCGAAUUCGAAUCAAUUUUUCCCCAAACUCCUAAUUAGUAUUAAACACACUUUAAAUGUAUUAAACGUGUACAUGUUACAUUGUGUGAGGAAGGCUCUAAAAAGUGGUCUUAAACUCAAUUUAGGUUUAUUUAAAUUAUAUUUAAACACAAAAUAUAAAAUAAAUAAAAUAAUUAAGAAUGAAUAUUAAUAUAAUAUUAUUUGAAUUAUUAUUGUUACUAAUUUAAUAACAUUAUAAUACAACAGAUAUUAGAUGUAUAAGACAACAGGAGUCGCUAUGAGACUGCAGACUACAUUAGGCUACAUUAGUUCCUUACUUUUGUUUUACUCCGCCAGGUACGCAUCACUUUGAUUUAUUUUGUUGGAGAUAGACAUUUAUACGUAUCUUGUCGCAAAUGUUUCUCUGCUUGCAUCAAGCCCGGUCCAUGUCCCACCUCCGAGAGCCAUAUAUGGUCUCCUGCUGGCCCCACUAUGGACUGGACUCUCACUAUAAUGUUAGAUCCACUAUGGACUGGACUCUCACAAUAUUAUGCUAGAUCCACUCGACGUCCAUUGCAUGUGGGAUCUGAGCCGAGGAUGUCCUUGUGGCUUGUGCAGCCUUUUGAGACACUCGUGAUUUAGGGCUAUAUAAGUAAACAUUGAUUGAUUGAUUGAUAUACCCCACUGUGAUUGGUAGAUUAGUUCAGCUCUGCACACAACACUGUAAAGGGCCACUUUUAAAACUCGCAGGCCGCACUAACAUUCAACUUUCUCAUUAAGGUGGGGGCCGCAAAAUAUCGUCUUGCGUGCCACAAAUGGUCCCCGGCCCGUGAGUUUGGGACCUAUGCUCUAAAGUUGAGUCUGUUUUCCAGCAGGUGAAGAAAGUGGUCUAAGGUUUUUGCUGCAAACCAAGCUCCUGCAGCACCAACACUAACUACAGUAACUACAGUGGAGUUGAAGAAGGACCUUUGAGGUGUUUGAGGACAGAAAGAUGGAAGAGCAGAACAUCAUGGAAAUUCUUUCUGGAGAUCAUCUUGUCUGCUGGAAGUUUUGUUCUCACAUGUUGAAACGACGACAGAGAAAUCCCUAAGGUCUUGUGUAUUGUGUGGGACCAAUCCUUCAGACUGGGGCGACACUCUCUGAGAGCUGGCCAUUGAAAUGCAGAAGGGAGCAGCUGAGGUCUGAAAAGGAGCGGCGCCCCCACGCUGACCACGCCCCC
Molecule: long non-coding RNA, 2875 nt
Organism: Entelurus aequoreus (snake pipefish)
Lineage: Eukaryota; Metazoa; Chordata; Actinopteri; Syngnathiformes; Syngnathidae
Exons: 4
Source: RefSeq, a predicted model, not a curated record